UGCAAGUCGAACGGUGAAGCCCAGCUUGCUGGGUGGAUCAGUGGCGAACGGGUGAGUAACACGUGAGCAACCUGCCCCUGACUCUGGGAUAAGCGCUGGAAACGGCGUCUAAUACUGGAUACGAACCACAGUCAAAUGGCUCGUGGUUGGAAAGAUUUUUUGGUUGGGGAUGGGCUCGCGGCCUAUCAGCUUGUUGGUGAGGUAAUGGCUCACCAAGGCGUCGACGGGUAGCCGGCCUGAGAGGGUGACCGGCCACACUGGGACUGAGACACGGCCCAGACUCCUACGGGAGGCAGCAGUGGGGAAUAUUGCACAAUGGGCGCAAGCCUGAUGCAGCAACGCCGCGUGAGGGAUGACGGCCUUCGGGUUGUAAACCUCUUUUAGCAAGGAAGAAGCGAAAGUGACGGUACUUGCAGAAAAAGCGCCGGCUAACUACGUGCCAGCAGCCGCGGUAAUACGUAGGGCGCAAGCGUUAUCCGGAAUUAUUGGGCGUAAAGAGCUCGUAGGCGGUUUGUCGCGUCUGCUGUGAAAUCCCGAGGCUCAACCUCGGGCCUGCAGUGGGUACGGGCAGACUAGAGUGCGGUAGGGGAGAUUGGAAUUCCUGGUGUAGCGGUGGAAUGCGCAGAUAUCAGGAGGAACACCGAUGGCGAAGGCAGAUCUCUGGGCCGUAACUGACGCUGAGGAGCGAAAGGGUGGGGAGCAAACAGGCUUAGAUACCCUGGUAGUCCACCCCGUAAACGUUGGGAACUAGUUGUGGGGUCCUUUCCACGGAUUCCGUGACGCAGCUAACGCAUUAAGUUCCCCCGCCUGGGGAGCACGGCCGCAAGGCUAAAACUCAAGGAAUUGACCGGGGACCCGCACAAGCGCGGAGCAUGCGGAUUAAUUCGAUGCAACGCGAAG
RNAcentral lists this ribosomal RNA (900 nucleotides) under Microbacterium phyllosphaerae. RNAcentral's name for it is "bacterial SSU rRNA". It matches the Rfam family "Bacterial small subunit ribosomal RNA", at positions 56 to 966 of the family's 1533-position model. Lineage: Bacteria; Bacillati; Actinomycetota; Actinomycetes; Micrococcales; Microbacteriaceae. The record is from RNAcentral.